CGAACCCGCGCGGGAGAGUCCGGAGUGCCCCGUCCUGGCGGCACAGCCGGCGCCGAAGGAGCAAGUCCUCCCCGGAAUCUCUCAGGCCCCCCUACCGCACGGGUUAG
Molecule: non-coding RNA, 107 nt
Filed under: Streptomyces sp.
Lineage: Bacteria; Bacillati; Actinomycetota; Actinomycetes; Kitasatosporales; Streptomycetaceae
Description: Glycine sequence
Rfam family: Glycine riboswitch aptamer
About the family: This family represents the bacterial glycine riboswitch. Glycine riboswitches usually consist of two metabolite-binding aptamers domains with similar structures in tandem.
Source: RNAcentral